CGCAUCAGCCAUGGCGCGGUGAAUACUUCCCGGGCCUUGUACACACCGCCCGUCAAGCCAUGGGAGCCGAGGGCGCUUGAAGUGCGUCGCCGCGAGGCGCGCCCUAGAGCGAAAUCGGUGACUGGGGCUAAGUCGUAACAAGGUAAC
Molecule: ribosomal RNA, 147 nt
Filed under: uncultured bacterium
Lineage: Bacteria
Description: partial 16S ribosomal RNA
Rfam family: Bacterial small subunit ribosomal RNA
Source: RNAcentral